UAAGGAGACUAUACUUGAGCCCAUUGGCCAUGGGAACUUGCUGAGAAGUUCUAAUCAAGGACAUAUUCAUAGGCAGACCAUCUGGUUGAAGUGGGAGGAGAUAUUUGAAGAGAAUGUCUGUGAAGAAGUGAAAGGGGUGAUGAAAGAGAACUCUCUAGUGAGAGAUGAUUAUGGAGCCCUUCUGAGUGAUGGCAAGAGUUGUGUGGCUGUCUGGGAACUAAAAAGGAAUAAGAUUAAUUUAAAUAUAAGCCGAGACACCCCAUUAUUUGAGAAGGAUACACUUGGGAGAUUGUCUUGUAAACUGAGUGAAAGAGCUGCCAGACACCAUCUCCUGGAAAUGCCUAGAAGAGACAGGAAGCUAAGAGGAAAACAGCAAACCGUGGAAGAGAGAUCUGCCAGUCUGCAUCGUAUCACCCACCUCCCCAACCUGGGCUCCUCAUACUGACUCAAUUUUUCUGGUUAGUAAUUCCAGUACCAUGUUGAAAAGUGGCAAGAGUGAACAUCCCUGUCUUGUUCCUGGUCUUAGAAGAAAAUUUUGAAACUUUCAUCAUUGAGUAUAAUGUUGGUGUGGAUUUGCCACAUAUGGCCUUUAUUUUGUAGAGAAAACUAUUGUUUUACUCUGAUGCUUUUGCAAAAGUGUUUCAUCUUCAAGAGAUCCAUGGAAAUGACUGACAAGUCAAGAGUUAAUUACAUGGAAAUGAAUGAACUGAUGAGGAAGAUAUAUAAUUUUAUGUCUUUUUCUUUAGAACAUUGUUUAUAUUCUCUUGAAGAUUAAAGGAAGUCUUUUCUCUUAAGCCGUCUAUGACUUACAGCAAUUUGAGACUAUGGAAUCCCAGAGAAUGUGAUCCGAGCUGUGAAACCCAGGGUAAAUGAAAAGGAACCCGACCCUUGGCUCCUCUGCUCUUGCAAACUCUCUCUAAAAGUCAUCAAAAGCUUAAGUUGACCCUUGCAAGCCCUCCAACCCCUCUCAGCUUCAGCCAACAAGACACAGUUGGCCUAUGACCGGCACCUCUGUAAUCACUUAGAGGCUGCUAGGCUUUUAGCAAAGCAUCUCUUCUAACUUCUCAAGUGUUGUUCUUUUACUUGUUUUACUUUUAGACAAUCUUAUGAACCAGCUCCAGUGAGCAGAGAGGCAGCAGGGACAACCCAUCAAUAAAAUAAUUCAGCCAAAGUCAAUUUUGUUAGAGACUUCUCAUGUUGUACUAGGAAAUCUAGGCUACUAAAAAUCAGGGAAAUCAAAUGGAAUCAUUUAUUUUGGUUCUAAAAGGAAAGCUAGCUUUAAAACUAUCUCUUUCAGAUAUCCCAUGCUCUUGGAUUGAAAGAAUUAGUAUUGUUAAAAUGACCAAACUACCCAAAGCAAUCUACAGAUUUAAUGUAAUCCCUAUCAAAUUACCCAUGACAUUUUUCAUAGAAUACUCUUAAAAUUUAUGUGGAACCACAAAAGCGUCAGAUUUCCCAAAGCAGCCCUACAGAAAAAGAACAAAGCAGCAUGCAGCACCCUCCCAGACUUCAGAUGAUACUAUAAAGCUACAGUAAUCAAAACAGAGUGAUAUUGGUACAAAAACAGACAUAUGGAUCAACGGCACA
Molecule: long non-coding RNA, 1587 nt
Organism: Bubalus bubalis (water buffalo)
Lineage: Eukaryota; Metazoa; Chordata; Mammalia; Artiodactyla; Bovidae
Exons: 6
Source: RefSeq, a predicted model, not a curated record